RNAcentral lists this unclassified non-coding RNA (277 nucleotides) under Hevea brasiliensis (rubber tree). Lineage: Eukaryota; Viridiplantae; Streptophyta; Magnoliopsida; Malpighiales; Euphorbiaceae. The record is from RNAcentral.
AAAAUCCAAUGUGCCACUUUGAAGGAUACAGUCCUUCCAUAACAGAGAAGGCUUUUGAACGAUUUGCAAAGAUGGGGCUCUUGAAUUGGAUCUUUGACUGGGCAUCCGAAUUGUGCUUUAGGACAUUUGCAGAUCCGCCCGCACAUUGAAAGUCAGUAACGGGCUAUUGGCCAUCCACAAAUCAACCAAUGGAGGAAAAUUAGCUGCCACACAACGCAAAGGAGAUGCCCACAAUAGCAGCCACUCCAUGUAUGAACCCCAAGAGGAAGAGAAAAAA